UAUUAAUAAUUAAUUAUAAAUAAUAAAUUAUUUAAUUAUUUAAUUUUUAAAAUAAUAAAUAAUAAUUUAAAUAUAUUAAUUAGAUUAAUUAAUAAUUUACUGCCAUUAAAAUUAGAUUUAGAUUUUAAUUAAUCUUGUUCUCAUCAAGGAACAAGCUUGUUCCAGGAAACGGGUGGAACAGCAGUUCCAGCCUUAUUCCAGCUAGUUCCAGAUUUUCAGAAACUACUGUUCCUGGGAGCCAAACAUAACGUUUGGGAACAAAGAGGGGAACAAGGGCUUAUUCCCUCCCUUAUUCCCCAACCAAACGCUACCCUAGAGUUGAGUUGGUGGUUGGUUGAAUAGUAUGGUCUAACGGAUAAAAAUGAUCAAAGGGGUUAAUCUAACGGUAGAAAACUUGAUAGUACAAAAUGCUUGGUGCUAUUGAUAGCAUAGCAGCUGGACUCUAUAAAAAUUUAAAAAAUUACGGAAAAUUUAUAAAUUGAGAUAUUAGAUGAAUAAUCUUAAAAUAUGAAAGUUAAUUAAAGCAGGAAGAAAGUAGUAAUGUUG
RNAcentral lists this long non-coding RNA (546 nucleotides) under Ananas comosus (pineapple). Its description in RNAcentral is "long non-coding RNA (ACOM_LNC014577)". The record is from RNAcentral. Lineage: Eukaryota; Viridiplantae; Streptophyta; Magnoliopsida; Poales; Bromeliaceae.